RNAcentral lists this ribosomal RNA (521 nucleotides) under uncultured Bacillota bacterium. Its description in RNAcentral is "bacterial SSU rRNA". It matches the Rfam family "Bacterial small subunit ribosomal RNA", at positions 386 to 896 of the family's 1533-position model. Lineage: Bacteria; Bacillati; Bacillota. The record is from RNAcentral.
ACGGAGCAACGCCGCGUGAACGAUGAAGGUCUUCGGAUCGUAAAGUUCUGUUGUUAGGGAAGAACAAGUACCGUGCGAAUAGAGCGGUACCUUGACGGUACCUAAACGAGGAAGCCCCGGCUAACUACGUGCCAGCAGCCGCGGUAAUACGUAGGGGGCAAGCGUUGUCCGGAAUUAUUGGGCGUAAAGCGCGCGCAGGCGGUUCCUUAAGUCUGAUGUGAAAGCCCACGGCUCAACCGUGGAGGGUCAUUGGAAACUGGGGAACUUGAGGACAGAAGAGGAGAGUGGAAUUCCACGUGUAGCGGUGAAAUGCGUAGAUAUGUGGAGGAACACCAGUGGUGAAGGCGACUCUCUGGUCUGUUUCUGACGCUGAGGUGCGAAAGCGUGGGUAGCAAACAGGAUUAGAUACCCUGGUAGUCCACGCCGUAAACGAUGAGUGCUAGGUGUUAGGGGGCUUCCACCCCUUAGUGCUGAAGUUAACGCAUUAAGCACUCCGCCUGGGGAGUACGACCGCAAGGUUG